UUGGAGGCUUUUGCCGGACGAGACAACUCACCAGUUGUUGCGGCUCUCUCAAGUGACACUCACAAAAAGGAAAAGAUUUUAGAGGGAGAGACAGAGAGAGAGAGAGACUUUUACUUUCUAGUGAGAGAAAGAGCAAGUCUUUUGAGGGAGAGAGAUUUGCUAGUGGUACUGCUACUACCUUUCUUGUGUUUUGAUUCACCCCAUGUUGUUGUUGCUGUUAGUAUUGUCUCCUAAUAUUCUACAGAUUUCAACGACUCUUUCUGCCAUUUGUUCUUCUUCAGCAAACGAUUUGUCUGGAUGCUAAGGUGUUUUCUGUUCAUAGGAGGCCUUUGACCACUGCAUCACCAUA
RNAcentral lists this unclassified non-coding RNA (349 nucleotides) under Hevea brasiliensis (rubber tree). Lineage: Eukaryota; Viridiplantae; Streptophyta; Magnoliopsida; Malpighiales; Euphorbiaceae. The record is from RNAcentral.